This 527-nucleotide ribosomal RNA is filed under the name uncultured bacterium. Its description in RNAcentral is "bacterial SSU rRNA". It matches the Rfam family "Bacterial small subunit ribosomal RNA", at positions 336 to 863 of the family's 1533-position model. The record is from RNAcentral.
CUCCUACGGGAGGCAGCAGUAAGGAAUAUUGGUCAAUGGAUGAAAGUCUGAACCAGCCAUGCCGCGUGGAGGAUGAAGGUCCUCUGGAUUGUAAACUUCUUUUAUAUGGGACGAAAAAGGGGCUUUCUAGCUCAACUGACGGUACCAUAUGAAUAAGCACCGGCUAACUCCGUGCCAGCAGCCGCGGUAAUACGGAGGGUGCAAGCGUUAUCCGGAUUCACUGGGUUUAAAGGGAGCGUAGGUGGGCUGGUAAGUCAGUGGUGAAAUCUCCGGGCUUAACUUGGAAACUGCCAUUGAUACUAUCAGUCUUGAAUAUUGUGGAGGUCAGCGGAAUAUGUCAUGUAGCGGUGAAAUGCUUAGAUAUGACAUAGAACACCAAUUGCGAAGGCAGCUGGCUACACAUAUAUUGACACUGAGGCUCGAAAGCGUGGGGAUCAAACAGGAUUAGAUACCCUGGUAGUCCACGCCCUAAACUAUGGAUACUCGACAUACGCGAUACACUGUGUGUGUCUGAGCGAAAGCAUUAA